This 72-nucleotide transfer RNA is filed under the name Camelus bactrianus (Bactrian camel). It matches the Rfam family "tRNA". From Rfam's summary of the family: Transfer RNA (tRNA) molecules are approximately 80 nucleotides in length. Lineage: Eukaryota; Metazoa; Chordata; Mammalia; Artiodactyla; Camelidae. RNAcentral also lists the same sequence under 2 other names. The record is from Rfam by way of RNAcentral.
GUGGGAAUAGCUCAGUGGCAGAGCACAUGCUUAGCAUGCACGAGGUCCUGGGUUCAGUUCCCAGUACCUUCA